Molecule: unclassified non-coding RNA, 376 nt
Filed under: uncultured Gammaproteobacteria bacterium
Lineage: Bacteria; Pseudomonadati; Pseudomonadota; Gammaproteobacteria
Description: contains 16S-23S intergenic spacer region
Source: RNAcentral
UCCGGUUUGUCACCGGCAGUCCCAUUAGAGUGCUCAACUAAAUGUGGCAACUAAUGGCAAGGGUUGCGCUCGUUGCGGGACUUAACCCAACAUCUCACGACACGAGCUGACGACAGCCAUGCAGCACCUGUGUUACGGCUCCCUUUCGGGCACACCCAGCUCUCGCUGGGCUUCCGUACAUGUCAAGGGUAGGUAAGGUUAUUCGCGUUGCAUCGAAUUAAUCCACAUCAUCCACCGCUUGUGCGGGUCCCCGUCAAUUCCUUUGAGUUUUAAUCUUGCGACCGUACUCCCCAGGCGGACAACUUCACGCGUUAGCUGCGGUACUGAGAAAUCGCUUCCCCAACACCUAGUUGUCAUCGUUUAGGGCGUGGACUAC